UACGGAGGGGGCAAGCGUUGUUCGGAAUCAUUGGGCGUAAAGAGUAUGUAGGCGGCUAUUUAAGUCAGGCGUGCAAGCCCACGGCUCAACCGUGGAAUUGCGUUUGAAACUAUUUAGCUUGAGUACAGGAGAGGAAGGCGGAAUUCCCAGUGUAGCGGUGAAAUGCAUUGAUAUUGGGAAGAACACCGGUGGCGAAGGCGGCCUUCUGGACGAUGACUGACGCUGAGACGCGAAAGCGUGGGUAGCAAACAGG
This 253-nucleotide ribosomal RNA is filed under the name uncultured bacterium. Its description in RNAcentral is "partial 16S ribosomal RNA". It matches the Rfam family "Bacterial small subunit ribosomal RNA", at positions 524 to 776 of the family's 1533-position model. The record is from RNAcentral.